GACGAACGCUGGCGGCGUGCCUAAUACAUGCAAGUAGAACGCUGAAGGAGGAGCUUGCUCUUCCGGAUGAGUUGCGAACGGGUGAGUAACGCGUAGGUAACCUGCCUGGUAGCGGGGGAUAACUAUUGGAAACGAUAGCUAAUACCGCAUAACAGUAGAUGUUGCAUGACAUUUGCUUAAAAGGUGCAAUUGCAUCACUACCAGAUGGACCUGCGUUGUAUUAGCUAGUUGGUGGGGUAACGGCUCACCAAGGCGACGAUACAUAGCCGACCUGAGAGGGUGAUCGGCCACACUGGGACUGAGACACGGCCCAGACUCCUACGGGAGGCAGCAGUAGGGAAUCUUCGGCAAUGGACGGAAGUCUGACCGAGCAACGCCGCGUGAGUGAAGAAGGGUUUCGGAUCGUAAAGCUCUGUUGUAAGAGAAGAACGAGUGUGAGAGUGGAAAGUUCACACUGUGACGGUAUCUUACCAGAAAGGGACGGCUAACUACGUG
RNAcentral lists this ribosomal RNA (495 nucleotides) under uncultured bacterium. Its description in RNAcentral is "partial 16S ribosomal RNA". It matches the Rfam family "Bacterial small subunit ribosomal RNA", at positions 28 to 507 of the family's 1533-position model. The record is from RNAcentral.